UACGUAGGUCCCGAGCGUUGUCCGGAUUUAUUGGGCGUAAAGCGAGCGCAGGUGGUCUAUUAAGUCUGGUGUAAAAGGCAGUGGCUCAACCAUUGUAUGCAUUGGAAACUGGUAGACUUGAGUGCAGGAGAGGAGAGUGGAAUUCCAUGUGUAGCGGUGAAAUGCGUAGAUAUAUGGAGGAACACCGGUGGCGAAAGCGGCUCUCUGGCCUGUAACUGACACUGAGGCUCGAAAGCGUGGGGAGCGAACAGG
Molecule: ribosomal RNA, 252 nt
Filed under: uncultured bacterium
Lineage: Bacteria
Description: partial 16S ribosomal RNA
Rfam family: Bacterial small subunit ribosomal RNA
Source: RNAcentral